This 459-nucleotide ribosomal RNA is filed under the name uncultured bacterium. RNAcentral's name for it is "partial 16S ribosomal RNA". It matches the Rfam family "Bacterial small subunit ribosomal RNA", at positions 338 to 795 of the family's 1533-position model. The record is from RNAcentral.
CCUACGGGAGGCAGCAGUGAGGAAUAUUGGUCAAUGGACGAGAGUCUGAACCAGCCAAGUAGCGUGAAGGAUGACUGCCCUAUGGGUUGUAAACUUCUUUUAUAUGGGAAUAAAAUGUUCCACGUGUGGGAUUUUGUAUGUACCAUAUGAACAAGGAUCGGCUAACUCCGUGCCAGCAGCCGCGGUAAUACGGAGGAUCCGAGCGUUAUCCGGAUUUAUUGGGUUUAAAGGGAGCGUAGGUGGAUUGUUAAGUCAGUUGUGAAAGUUUGCGGCUCAACCCCGUACUGCCGUUGAAACUGCAUCCCUUGAGUGCGCGAGAAGUAUGCGGAAUGCGUGGUGUAGCGGUGAAAUGCAUAGAUAUCACGCAGAACUCCGAUUGCGAAGGCAGCAUACCGGCGCGCAACUGACGCUCAUGCACGAAAGCGUGGGUAUCGAACAGGAUUAGAUACCCCAGUAGUC